RNAcentral lists this ribosomal RNA (445 nucleotides) under uncultured bacterium. RNAcentral describes it as "partial 16S ribosomal RNA". It matches the Rfam family "Bacterial small subunit ribosomal RNA", at positions 354 to 796 of the family's 1533-position model. The record is from RNAcentral.
GUGGGGAAUAUUGCGCAAUGGAGGCAACUCUGACGCAGCCAUGCCGCGUGCAGGAAGAAGGCGCUACGCGUUGUAAACUGCUUUUAACCGGGAAGAAACCCCAGGACGUGUCCUGGGUUGACGGUACCGGAGGAAUAAGCACCGGCUAACUUCGUGCCAGCAGCCGCGGUAAUACGAAGGGUGCAAGCGUUAUCCGGAUUCAUUGGGUUUAAAGGGUGCGUAGGCGGAGCGUUAAGUCAGUGGUUAAAUCCUGCAGCUUAACUGUAGACUUGCCAUGGAUACUGGCGCUCUUGAGUGCGCUUGAAGUGGGCGGAAUGUGCCGUGUAGCGGUGAAAUGCUUAGAUAUGGCACAGAACACCAAUUGCGAAGGCAGCUCACUAAGGCGAUACUGACGCUGAGGCACGAAAGCGUGGGGAUCGAACAGGAUUAGAAACCCUUGUAGUCC